CCUUAAGACUAUCACCACGAGUGCACCUGCUCACAGAAGCUAUGCAGAGUCUGGCAUGGUUAAUACUUGCAUAAGAGACCACCUGGGAACACUAGGGCCUUUAAGC
RNAcentral lists this ribosomal RNA (106 nucleotides) under Echinops telfairi (small Madagascar hedgehog). Lineage: Eukaryota; Metazoa; Chordata; Mammalia; Afrosoricida; Tenrecidae. The record is from RNAcentral.